ACGGAGGAUCCGAGCGUUAUCCGGAUUUAUUGGGUUUAAAGGGAGCGCAGGCGGGGGCGUAAGUCAGCGGUGAAAUCCACGGGCUCAACUCGUGAACUGCCGUUGAUACUGCAUCCCUUGAGUACGUGCGGGGCCGGCGGAAUGCGGCAAGUAGCGGUGAAAUGCAUAGAUAUGCCGCAGAACACCGAUCGCGAAGGCAGCUGGCCAGCACGAAACUGACGCUGAGGCUCGAAAGCAUGGGGAUCAAACAG
Molecule: ribosomal RNA, 251 nt
Filed under: uncultured prokaryote
Description: partial 16S rRNA
Rfam family: Bacterial small subunit ribosomal RNA
Source: RNAcentral